This 146-nucleotide small RNA is filed under the name Macaca fascicularis (crab-eating macaque). RNAcentral's name for it is "Metazoan signal recognition particle RNA (ENSMFAG00000057674.1)". Lineage: Eukaryota; Metazoa; Chordata; Mammalia; Primates; Cercopithecidae. The record is from Rfam by way of RNAcentral.
GCUGGGCAUGGUGGCGCAGCCUGUAGUCCCAACUACUCGGAGGCAGAGGCAGGAGAAUUGCUUGAACCUGGGAGGCGGAGGCUGCAGUGAGCUGAGAUCACGCCACUGCACUCUAGCCUAGGUGACAGAGCAAGACUCUGUCUCAA